Molecule: long non-coding RNA, 2261 nt
Organism: Myotis davidii
Lineage: Eukaryota; Metazoa; Chordata; Mammalia; Chiroptera; Vespertilionidae
Exons: 2
Source: RefSeq, a predicted model, not a curated record
GUGGGCUGAAGUUAGGCUGGGGCUGGGAUUGACAGGUGGGAGCUGGGGUGGAACCUACUGUGAUUGGAGAUGUGGCCACAAGAGGGCGCUAUGCUCCCGCUACAGCCGUUCUAGUGAUUUCAUAGGGAGACUGUCCUGAGCGCACACAAUCACUGCCUUCUCAUUACAGACAAAUCACAGUCCCUCCUCUGUAACCCAGGCACUGCCAUCCACAACCGCAUCCCCACCCUGUGUACACAAAAUCCCUGUUAGUCAUACUCUCACUCAUAUAUGCUGCCGGCAGGCCUGCUGUCUCCUCUACAGGCAUGCGGUCCCUGCCUCACCCAAGCGUUAUUCAGCUCCUUUCAUUUUCCUGAGCAUUUUUUCCACACCAGGCCCCCGGCAGGAUGCUGGGGCUGCAGAGGGGGUAGGAGCUGAGCUCAAGAAGCUCAGAGCCCGGGGGAGACAGAAACAAACUCUUCUGCAUUAACAGCCCUCUGGGUGGCUCAGCCUCUCUCCCAGCAUUGUGUGAGGACCUGAAACUUAGGCGACACCAACAUCAAGGCCCGACCAGGAUGGGAAGCAGAAGAGGUACAAAGGCUAUACUACCUGGAGGAACAUUUAGUGACUAUUAAAGCUGAGGCCAGGAGCCAGAAAUCCAGGAGGCAGCCAGAGCCAAUGCAGGCGGGGAGAGGUCAGACCAUCGUGCAGACACCACAGGCUGUGAUUCACCUUUGCUCUCAAGUGUGGCCGUUGGUGAGAUGGAUAAGCCAGCCAAGUUUAAGGUCCCUGGGCAGGGCUGCUAUCCACCCCCAGGUGUGAAUCAUGGCUUAACCACUUCCGGAUCACAGCUUCACCGUGGCAAGCUUUCAGAAUCUCUGUCUUGUCACCAAUACAAUGGGAACCGUAUCAAUCAGGGUCCUGGCAGGAAACAGAUGACACAGUCAAACCAAAUAAUGUCAAAGAGUUUCCCGGAGGGGCUGUUUUAAAAGGUGUGGGCAUGAUUAAGGAAACCCACGAAUCCUGGGGUAACUUCAGUAUCCUGGGGCUAGUACCAGAGUAGCAAUGGACGGGGUUACUACACAGGUGCUCCAUCCAACCAUAGCAACCAAAUAAAUUCCCCAACUUCACUCUCCCAUCUCCUGCUCACCUGCUGGUGGCUCCCACUGACCCAACCCAACCACAGGCCAGAGAUCCAGGAGGCCGUGAGCCUCCCAAGGCACAAGGCUGGGUGGAGAGGGGGGAAGAGUAGACCAGAGGGGCAAAGGGAACAUAUUCGUCCCAGCACUCAGGACAUACCUAGGAUUGUUGUAGAGGUAAAAGGAGGCACUGCGGGUAAGGCAUUAGCACAGCGCUAACAACAUAGCCAGUGACUAUCCGAGUGCCACCAUGCUCAGGAAAGUCUCUGCCUGCUCCCCAGGCCACAUGGUACCUCAGCCCCAGCUUAGAUGGGAUGGUUGCAAAGGUCUUAGGGAGAAGGGAUCUCUACCUAUCUGCCACCAUGCAUUCCAGCAUCUUCCAGGACAUUCUGGCUGCCUGGCCAAGGAUGGCUUAGAGAUCAGAGCAAUCAGGGCACAUCAUUGGCUAUCCCAGAAUGGACUGAGCUUCCAGCCCAACCCUGCUUCUCCAGGGUGCAGGCCAGGACCAUGGAUGAGGGACAUUCCAGUCCUGGACAUCCUGCCUUGGGCCUGGGAGCUAUUUUGAGCAUCACAGCUUACUGUUCUCAUCCAGUAUGUGCUGGGCUAAUGUUCAUCACCCAGAGUCCCGCAGUGCACAUCACUGUCAUCAGAAGAUAGCCCUCAUGUCCCCUUGGCUUUCUCUACUCAGGGUACACAUCUCUAUUUCCUCCUCCCUCAAUUGCAUGAGCUUCCUUCAGUUGUGCAUCUGAUAGAUUUCAAUUUCAUAUACACAGCCUCCGAGCCCACAUCUACUGAAAGAAGUAACAGCCACCCGGCAGCCCUAGAAGAGACAAGAGAAGGAUGAGGAUAGGUUGAGAAGACAGCCCUGUGUAAACCAGGAGGAGGGCAGUCUCCAAGAACCCAACUAUGCAGGUUCCCUGGUCUCACUCCAGCCUCCGGAAAUAGGUGGGCAACCUAUUUCUCUAAGCCCCCCAGUCUGUACUAUUCUGUUACAGCAGCCUAAGACCUCCUCAUCAGCUCUCACCUGGAUUACAGCCACAGUCUCCCUCCUGCAGGCCCCUGAUCCUGGAAAGCAGACACUGGGGAAGAGUUAAGAGUGCAAAGGGUCAAUGUAAAACUUUAGACAAUAAAAAAAUAAAUAAA